GACAGAGGGUGCGAACGUUGUUCGGAAUUACUGGGCGUAAAGCGCGUGUAGGCUGUCACGCAAGUCGGGUGUGAAAGCCCGGGGCUUAACCUCGGAGGUGCAUCCAAAACUGCAUGACUUGAGUCCCGGAGGGGGUGGUGGAAUUCCCGGUGUAGAGGUGAAAUUCGUAGAUAUCGGGAGGAACACCAGUGGCGAAGGCGACCACCUGGACGGAGACUGACGCUGAGGUGCGAAAGCGUGGGGAGCAAACAGG
RNAcentral lists this ribosomal RNA (253 nucleotides) under uncultured bacterium. Its description in RNAcentral is "partial 16S ribosomal RNA". It matches the Rfam family "Bacterial small subunit ribosomal RNA", at positions 524 to 776 of the family's 1533-position model. The record is from RNAcentral.